CUGCUGGUCUCUGUGGCCUUCGCCUUUUGCGAACGGCCAAUGGCUGGUGGCUUUUGCCACCGGCCU
This 66-nucleotide small RNA is filed under the name Azomonas agilis. RNAcentral's name for it is "Pseudomonas sRNA P26". It matches the Rfam family "Pseudomonas sRNA P26". Rfam says of the family: P26 is conserved across many Gammaproteobacteria species and appears to be consistently located between the DNA directed RNA polymerase (beta subunit) and 50S ribosomal protein L7/L12 genes. Lineage: Bacteria; Pseudomonadati; Pseudomonadota; Gammaproteobacteria; Pseudomonadales; Pseudomonadaceae. The record is from Rfam by way of RNAcentral.